RNAcentral lists this long non-coding RNA (1559 nucleotides) under Phascolarctos cinereus (koala). RNAcentral describes it as "lncRNA (ENSPCIG00000009758.2)". The record is from RNAcentral. Lineage: Eukaryota; Metazoa; Chordata; Mammalia; Diprotodontia; Phascolarctidae.
GCAGAAUUGAUUUCUUGUUCCUUGCUUAAUGAUGGGAGAAGGUACUGUGGAGCAGAUACUCUCCUCCUCAGGAAACCUGUGGGGCUGGGCUGAGAUUCCUCAUUGAGUAUGACCAUGCUCAGUUGAAGCAGUGGGUGCUUGUAGAAACGCAGCUGAUCUGCUGCCGUUGACGAUGAUGGAUGAUAGCCUUGGACUCUCAACUUUGUAGCCCAACAGACAACCUUGUGAAUUCAGAUGUCAGACAGAGUGCACAGAGAAAGGCCUUGCAGUUUAUUGCUGGAGGAAAGCAGAACAAAGCUCACCAGCCUUCUCAAUAUUCUCCAACCCAGAUAUAGUAACUUCCAUAGACUAGAAGAGCACGAUGGAGGGCAGGUAAAAGCAACUUCCUUACCACAUUUUCACUCUGUUCCUUUUCCAUUUGGGCAAUUAUAGCUGUAGGGAUAUUUGUGUCAUCCAGUAGCAUAUGAUAAAAGCUAAGAACUAAAAUGUGUCUUUGACUCACCCUGAUGAACGUUGAACCGAGUGAGUCAUAGCAGCAGUAGAGGAGAGAGGAACUCAGAAAGCAUACACGAUCUCAGGCUGCAUGUCUACAACAUUUUAUGGUAUAGCAUAAUAAGAGAAAAUGCUUCUGGCCACUGGCUGAAAGAACUACUUGCUUCUAUGGAGGGGAGAGGCUUACUAAGCACAGCAGCACCCCCAGUGGAUGGGCAGAGUUUCCCAGGGCACUGAAGUUAGUAAGGUAGAUAAAGAUCAACUGAAGAAGAGAGGUGUGGUCUGCUGAGGCUGGGGGGCAGGAAAGAUCAACACCUGGUGGAGAGCCCAGAAGGGACCGAGUUCAGUAGAGAACAAAGUAAUGACAUCAUGAAAAAACAUUGACAGCCUAUAGGACCAUAGAAAAGAGUUGUUCUUCGUUUUGUUUUUCCUGGCCACACAGCACACACAGGAUCAUGUUCAUGUGUGCAUAGACUUACAGUUAGAAGAGACCUUAAAGGUCAUCUAGUACAACCCCUGGCUCCUUCAUUUGUUUCACAGUCUGGGCUCCAGAAGGAGGGAACCUGUUUUAGAAGUCAUCUAGUCCAACCCCAUCCUUGGGAUCCAGAGAGGGGAAAUGACUUGCUGGAAGUCACACAUGAAGGACUUAGCAGAGGCAAAAUUCAAACGUGGGUCUUGUGACUUCAAAUCCUGAGCUCUAUCGUGACUACCCCGUUUGAUGUUGAAAAAGUGCUAGUUCUUUUAAAGCACAUUUUUAUUGAUAAUUUAGUUUUUACAUCAUAUCUACCCCUUUUGUAUUCUUUUUCCCUCCCAUAAAGCAAUCCAUUUAUAGCAGGGGAACAAAGGGGAACAUGUCUAGGUUUUAGGGGGCCUAUGAAUUUGGGUAGAAAAAUAUUUUCACCAAUCUCCAACUGAAAUUAAGUAUUUCCUUUAAUUAUAAAUGUUGACAUCCAACAUUAUUCGGAGAAGAGAUCCAGAUACUUCAUCAUACUACCAAAGGAGUCCAAUGAUGUAAAAAGGUCUUUGCCUUCCUCCUGGCAAAGAAUAAAAAAGAGGAAAAAAGAACA